RNAcentral lists this ribosomal RNA (473 nucleotides) under uncultured bacterium. RNAcentral describes it as "bacterial SSU rRNA". It matches the Rfam family "Bacterial small subunit ribosomal RNA", at positions 335 to 802 of the family's 1533-position model. The record is from RNAcentral.
ACUCCUACGGGAGGCAGCAGUAGGGAAUCUUCCACAAUGGACGAAAGUCUGAUGGAGCAACGCCGCGUGAGUGAAGAAGGGUUUCGGCUCGUAAAACUCUGUUGUUAAAGAAGAACAUAUCUGAGAGUAACUGUUCAGGUAUUGACGGUAUUUAACCAGAAAGCCACGGCUAACUACGUGCCAGCAGCCGCGGUAAUACGUAGGUGGCAAGCGUUGUCCGGAUUUAUUGGGGCGUAAAGCGAGCGCAGGCGGUUUUUAAGUCUGAUGUGAAAGCCUUCGGCUCAACCGAAGAAGUGCAUCGGAAACUGGGAAACUUGAGUGCAGAAGAGGACAGUGGAACUCCAUGUGUAGCGGUGAAAUGCGUAGAUAUAUGGAAGAACACCAGUGGCGAAGGCGGCUGUCUGGUCUGUAACUGACGCUGAGGCUCGAAAGUAUGGGUAGCAAACAGGAUUAGAUACCCUGGUAGGAUACCG